GAAGGCAGCUUUCUGGAUCAUUACUGACACUGAGGAACGAAAGCAUGGGUAGCGAAGAGGAUUAGAUACCCUCGUAGUCCAUGCCGUAAACGAUGUGUGUUAGACGUUGGAAAUUUAUUUUCAGUGUCGCAGGGAAACCGAUAAACACACCGCCUGGGGAGUACGACCGCAAGGUUAAAACUCAAAUGAAUUGACGGGGACCCGCACAAGUAGUGGAGCAUGUGGUUUAAUUCGAAGAUACGCGCAGAACCUUACCAACACUUGACAUGUUCGUCGCGACUCUAAGAGAUUAGAGUUUUCGGUUCGGCCGGACGAAACACAGGUGCUGCAUGGCUGUCGUCAGCUCGUGUCGUGAGAUGUUGGGUUAAGUCCCGCAACGAGCGCAACCCUCACUUUUAGUUGCCAUCAUUAAGUUGGGCACUCUGAAAGAACUGCCAGUGAUAAGCUGGAGGAAGGUGGGGAUGACGUCAAGUCCUCAUGGCCCUUACGUGUUGGGCUACACACGUGCUACAAUGGCAUCUACAACAGGAAGCAAAACGGCAACGUUAAGCAAAUCCCGAAAAGAUGCCUCAGUUCGGAUUGCACUCUGCAACUCGAGUGCAUGAAGCUGGAAUUACUAGUAAUCGUGGAUCAGCGUGCCACGGUGAAUGCGUUCCCGGGUCUUGUACACACCGCCCGUCACACCAUGGGAGUUGGUUCUACCUUAAGGCAAGGUUUCAAACCCUUGACCACGGUAUAGUCAGCGACUGGGGUGAAGUCGUAACAAGGUAGCCGUA
RNAcentral lists this ribosomal RNA (776 nucleotides) under uncultured bacterium. Its description in RNAcentral is "bacterial SSU rRNA". It matches the Rfam family "Bacterial small subunit ribosomal RNA", at positions 717 to 1504 of the family's 1533-position model. The record is from RNAcentral.